GACGAACGCUGGCGGCGUGCUUAACACAUGCAAGUCGAACGGAAAGGCCCUGCUUUUGUGGGGUGCUCGAGUGGCGAACGGGUGAGUAACACGUGAGUAACCUGCCCUUGACUUGGUGAUAACUUCAGGAAACUGGGGCUAAUACCGGAUAGGAGCUCCUGCUGCAUGGUGGGGGUUGGAAAGUUUCGGCGGUUGGGGAUGGACUCGCGGCUUAUCAGCUUGUUGGUGGGGGAGUGGCUUACCAAGGCUUUGACGGGUAGCCGGCCUGAGAGGGUGACCGGCCACAUUGGGACUGAGAUACGGCCCAGACUCCUACGGGAGGCAGCAGUGGGGAAUAUUGCACAAUGGGCGGAAGCCUGAUGCAGCAACGCCGCGUGCGGGAUGACGGCCUUCGGGUUGGAAACCGCUUUCGCCUGUGACGAAGCGUGAGUGACGGUAAUGGGUAAAGAAGCACCGGCUAACUACGUG
Molecule: ribosomal RNA, 468 nt
Filed under: uncultured bacterium
Lineage: Bacteria
Description: partial 16S ribosomal RNA
Rfam family: Bacterial small subunit ribosomal RNA
Source: RNAcentral